Molecule: microRNA precursor, 142 nt
Filed under: Hordeum vulgare
Lineage: Eukaryota; Viridiplantae; Streptophyta; Magnoliopsida; Poales; Poaceae
Source: RNAcentral
GUGACAUGAGCUACUCCGAAUAGCCAAGGAGGACAUGCCUAUACAUACUCUGAAUACUCUGAAUAGUAAAGUCAGAUGAGAUGUACACAUAUGUGCAUGUGGUGUAGGCAAGUCAUCCUUGGCUACCGAAUCAGCUCUGUCC